RNAcentral lists this ribosomal RNA (253 nucleotides) under uncultured bacterium. Its description in RNAcentral is "partial 16S ribosomal RNA". It matches the Rfam family "Archaeal small subunit ribosomal RNA", at positions 474 to 727 of the family's 1478-position model. The record is from RNAcentral.
UACCUGCAGCCCAAGUGGUGCUCGUUAUUAUUGGGUCUAAAACGUCCGUAGUCGGCUGAGUAGAUGCCCGGGUAAAUCGCAGCGCUCAACGUUGCGAAUUCCGGGUAGACCGCUCGGCUAGGGAGUGGGAGCGGUGUGAGGUACUCUGAGGGUAGGGGUAAAAUCCUGUAAUCCUUGGGGGACCACCAGUGGCGAAGGCGUCGCACUAGAACACGUCCGACGAUCAGGGACGAAGCCCUGGGGCGCAAACGGG